RNAcentral lists this ribosomal RNA (484 nucleotides) under uncultured bacterium. RNAcentral describes it as "partial 16S ribosomal RNA". It matches the Rfam family "Bacterial small subunit ribosomal RNA", at positions 28 to 523 of the family's 1533-position model. The record is from RNAcentral.
GACGAACGCUGGCGGCGUGCUUAACACAUGCAAGUCGAACGAUGAAGCCGGAGCUUGCUCUGGUGAAUUAGUGGCGAACAGGUGAGUAACACGUGAGUAACCUGCCCUUGACUCUGGGAUAACUGCGGGAAACUGUAGCUAAUACCGGAUACGACCCUCGGAGGCAUCUCCUGGGGGUGGAAAGAAUUUCGGUCAAGGAUGGACUCGCGGCCUAUCAGCUAGUUGGUGAGGUAAAGGCUCACCAAGGCGACGACGGGUAGCCGGCCUGAGAGGGUGACCGGCCACACUGGAACUGAGACACGGCCCAGACUCCUACGGGAGGCAGCAGUGGGGAAUAUUGCACAAUGGGCGCAAGCCUGAUGCAGCAACGCCGCGUGAGGGAUGACGGCCUUCGGGUUGUAAACCUCUUUUAGCAGGGAAGAAGCGAAAGUGACGGUACCUGCAGAAAAAGCACCGGCUAACUACGUGCCAGCAGCCGCCGCAG